This 94-nucleotide transfer RNA is filed under the name Achromobacter piechaudii. RNAcentral describes it as "tRNA-Gly". Lineage: Bacteria; Pseudomonadati; Pseudomonadota; Betaproteobacteria; Burkholderiales; Alcaligenaceae. The record is from RNAcentral.
GGUGGCUUGCUUGAGCGCCAGCAUGUCGUCGGUCACCAGCCGAGGGGUGAAGGGCACGUUCUGGCGCGCGCCGUUCGGCCCGUCCAGCCGCCAC